AAAACAUUGCGCGCAUCCGCCCCUACUUAACGCCAGAUGCGACUAAGGUGUUGGUCCAUUCCACUGUCCUUUCUCGCCUUGACUACUGUAAUCCGCUUCUCAGUGGUCUUACAUGCUCCCAACUAGCGCCGUUACAGUCCAUAAUGAAUGCGGCGGCAAGGCUCAUCUUCCUGUCCGCCCGCACCUCCCAUGCCUCACCCUUCUGUCAAUCCCUA
Pelobates cultripes (western spadefoot toad) is the source of this 215-nucleotide non-coding RNA. The record is from the annotation of a GenBank genome assembly. Lineage: Eukaryota; Metazoa; Chordata; Amphibia; Anura; Pelobatidae.